CUACGGGGUGCUCCAGUGGGGAAUAUUGCGCAAUGGGCGCAAGCCUGAUGCAGCCAUGCCGCGUGUAUGAAGAAGGCCUUCGGGUUGUAAAGUACUUUCAGCGGGGAGGAAGGGAGUAAAGUUAAUACCUUUGCUCAUUGACGUUACCCGCAGAAGAAGCACCGGCUAACUCCGUGCCAGCAGCCGCGGUAAUACGGAGGGUGCAAGCGUUAAUCGGAAUUACUGGGCGUAAAGCGCACGCAGGCGGUUUGUUAAGUCAGAUGUGAAAUCCCCGGGCUCAACCUGGGAACUGCAUCUGAUACUGGCAAGCUUGAGUCUCGUAGAGGGGGGUAGAAUGCCAGGUGUAGCGGUGAAAUGCGUAGAGAUCUGGAGGAAUACCGGUGGCGAAGGCGGCCCCCUGGACGAAGACUGACGCUCAGGUGCGAAAGCGUGGGGAGCAAACAGGAUUAGAUACCCCAGUAGUC
Molecule: ribosomal RNA, 464 nt
Filed under: uncultured bacterium
Lineage: Bacteria
Description: partial 16S ribosomal RNA
Rfam family: Bacterial small subunit ribosomal RNA
Source: RNAcentral